This 482-nucleotide ribosomal RNA is filed under the name uncultured bacterium. RNAcentral describes it as "partial 16S ribosomal RNA". It matches the Rfam family "Bacterial small subunit ribosomal RNA", at positions 28 to 507 of the family's 1533-position model. The record is from RNAcentral.
GACGAACGCUGGCGGCGUGCUUAACACAUGCAAGUCGAACGCUGAAGCUCAGCUUGCUGGGUGGAUGAGUGGCGAACGGGUGAGUAACACGUGAGUAACCUGCCCUCUUCUUUGGGAUAACGCCCGGAAACGGGUGCUAAUACUGGAUAUUCACUGAUUCUCGCAUGGGGGUUGGUGGAAAGGUUUUUUCUGGUGGGGGAUGGGCUCGCGGCCUAUCAGCUUGUUGGUGGGGUGAUGGCCUACCAAGGCUUUGACGGGUAGCCGGCCUGAGAGGGUGACCGGUCACAUUGGGACUGAGAUACGGCCCAGACGCCUACGGGAGGCAGCAGUGGGGAAUAUUGCACAAUGGGCGAAAGCCUGAUGCAGCGACGCCGCGUAAGGGAUGGAGGCCUUCGGGUUGUAAACCUCUUUCGCUCAUGGUCAAGCCGCAGCUUGGGGUUGUGGUGAGGGUAGUGGGUAAAGAAGCGCCGGCUAACUACGUG